Peromyscus maniculatus bairdii (prairie deer mouse) is the source of this 3305-nucleotide non-coding RNA. Lineage: Eukaryota; Metazoa; Chordata; Mammalia; Rodentia; Cricetidae. The record is from RefSeq and is a predicted model, not a curated record.
UAUUGUCUAGACUUUUAUCUCCGGGUAUGGAUCUGGAUCUUGCAUUAGUGAGGCUCUGGGGAUACCGACUGUCUCCGCGGUGUGUGCAGUGCAGCCCGUGCCUGCCGGCGAUCACUGGGGGUUUGUUUGGGUCAGUUUAGAAGCAAAAACAAAUUUGUUCUUGGAGCUGUGCAGGUAUACCUAAGUAUUCACGGAAGGAAGCCUGGGAUGGGGAAGGUCUCUUUCUCUCUCUGCCUGGGAAUAUUCUGGAGCGUGUACUUGUGUGUUGGGUGAGAAUUUGUCAUGGUGUGCUUUGUUCUGGGCAUUUUAAGUGUUCCUGUCUGGGCUUUUUCGGGUUUUAUUAACCCGCAUCCGCUUGGCUGGUUUAUGUCCCUUCCAAGCAGAUCAUCUGGUGUUUUUCAGUAUUAGAGUCUAUUGUGUGUGUUUGGCUUCUCUGGGGAAACGGUUUGGGGUGACACCUUCUCAGCCCCUCUCAGGUUCUCCUCCCCACCCCAGUCACAGCUUUGUCCUUCACAGAAUGUCUGGCUCUGUCUCACUCUUUUUCAAGUUCCUCAAAAUCUCCAAAGAGUCUGGCAGUUUUCUGUCACAGGCAUGGAAAACACUGUUGCAGGGUGACCUCUGGGUAUGACUGUCUUUCUCACACUAGGGGGAAGCAUCUCAGCUAAUAACUAACCCCCUGACUUCCUGGAGCUCCCCUUCACAAGCUGAAGGACCAUCAGAAGGGACCUUCUCAGUCCAUUUCAACCAUUUGGAAUACUGUGAGCAGAAUUCUAGGCCAUGCAAAGAAAGCCUGCCACCCCCUCUGUGAGGAUUCCUGACAGCAGAUGUCCCCAUCUUGGCCGCCCUCAGCCCAUAUCCAAAGAAUCCAGGCACUCCAAGACACAGUGGUUGCCUGUGGGUGAAACAUUUAUCUCUUCGGGUCCCAGGGACAGACAUUGUGUGGAAAAAUCAGGAUCCCUAACACCACCAGAAACAAUGAGAUCAAGCCCUUUUGUUUUUCAUAUAAGAUACUGGGUAGGAAGAUAUUAAGGUAAGGAACCUGAUUGUUCUAUCAACUGAUCCUGUCUGCAGCUCCUGGCUGCUGCCACCCAGGCCUCAGACCCACCUCAGGUAUCUUAUAGACAAGACUAGAGACAUUCCCAACCAGGUAGGUAGAGUGGAGUGGAGCUGGUUCUAGAGGUCAGUUUUCCAGUUGGCAAAGUAGAGGUGACCACAAAUGAUGGCGGCAGAGGCGUGAGAGCCCUGGGUUCAGCCAUCAUCACUCUUGAAGCAUCCAGACACCUCCUCUCCCCCUUUCUAUAGAAUUCCAAUUUGGAAAGAAAUAAUUAGGCUUUAAGAUUGCUCCAUGAGCACAGAGGAGCCAAAAACAAGUGAUGAGAUUCAGGGAAAAGGAGGUGAGUUCUCCAUAGAUACCUCUAGAAGGAAGGAAAGAAUCAAGGAUCCAGGUUUAGGCUCCUUCCUCCCAGCUGUUCCCAUCACCGAUUGCCUGCCGAUCAUGAUUGCUGACUGGGCUACUCAGUAUCUCAAAGCCUGUCUCAGGCUCCGCCUUACUCUCCUGCGCCUGGCCUUCCUUCAUUCCUACUUCCUAGCUCUUUGAAACCAAGAAAGACAGAAUAAACUAGCUUCUCCACACCAGCCGGCCGGGACGAGGUGAGUACCAGGUCCUUGCAGCUGGAACUUCGCUUCCAAUCUCACCAGCUGCACACUUCUUUGGUAAUUGCCGGGUUAAAAUGCUCCUUUCUCAUUUCUCUCCUUCUCUCCCUUUCCUUCCACCUCAGGAUCUGAUAAAUAAACAAAUGCAAGCUUACCACUACACCAGCCCUCCCCAUCCCUGUGACCUCAUUCCUACUUACCAAAUAUUUCCCUUUGUUUUCAGCUCAAAACUGUAAUAUUCAGACAGACAUUUAAGCUGUAAAUGAAGUUUUUUCUUUAUGAUGCUUAAUUUUCUCUCCAAUUCUUAAAGUCCUUCUUCACCUCGCUGCUGUAGAGUGGAAGGGAUUUACAAGUCCGCAGGGGCGAUGGGGAGUAAAGAGAUCGUGCCCAGGCUUAGAGACAAUGGGGAAAGAUACAGAAGGCAGAAAGAGGUGGGGGCAGCCCCAGCAGGCAGAGAGCAGAACCAGAGGCAGAAAAGAAGAGAAAAGUUUCCUGGAGUAUUCAUUCGCUGACUUCCCUGUCCACAGCUUCCCGGGGCUGCAGAAUUCACCCCCAAUAAAGGAAGGGGGCUUUUUUUUAAGUCCUGCGUUUACAACACCAGAAAUGCCAAGGCUAAAUCCUUCUAGAGAGAAAAGCUGAAACGGAGGACCGACUCCUUCCUUGUAAGUAUUAAAGAAGGCAGACCUAUGCAGACAAAGUGAAUCCAAGCUAAUAUCCAAAAUGAAAAUGAAACUGGAUCAGAGAACUUCAACCAGAUCUCAUCAUUUCUCCACCGACUUUCAAAUCUGUAAGCUCUUGCCUGGGACCUCCUUGAUUUAAGGCUCGUUGGAGCCAGCCGAAGCCCUCACCAACCCAGGCAGAGAGAGCAAGAGCCGAAGGAGGGAAGAGAGCGCCAGGCAUAGACCAAAGGGAACCACCCAGAAAUGUGGGGAAAGGAGCCGGUGGACGUCCCCAACAGUGGCAGAAGGAAAAUAGACACACCCGCACGAAGAAAGGUUCAUGUUUUUUGUUUGUUUGUUUGUUUGUUUGUUUGUUUGUUUGCGUUGUCUUUUAAAUUUGUAUUUGGAGCUCACUGAAGAAAAGUCAAAUUUCAGGCCAGAGGACAGAAAGAGUUAUCUGGGACCGUGUGACCAGCCCAGAAGGAAGAACUCCGGACAAACCCGAGUGGGCGCCAAAGCAGUCGCUUCUGGAGGCUGGGCCCUGGAAGACCUCCUGGAGGCCUCCGGAGCUUCUUUGCUCUCCUUAUCAUUCUCAUCUUUAUGACGAGGCUUGUUAACAUGACCAGCGAGCUGGCCAUGUACAUCUAUCUCCACCACACACGCGCGCUCAGCCGAGCAGUCGCCGGCGGCGGGGGGACAGGGAGGCACUAAUUAAUUGGUUCCUUUGGACUGUAAAAUAUGGCCGCGUCUACACGGAACCUGUGGGCUCAUAAACAAUCUCUCUGCUGAGUGCGAGUGUACUGUCUCUUAAAGAAUCUUUCUAUAGGUAUAUGUAUUAGAGUCCCAGGUUUGAAAGACUCAAAUAAGAUUGUUUUUUCACAAAUCACAACCCAGUUCAGUGUCGGAAAAUGGACCUGCAAAAGUUUGUGUUAUGGGACAGGUUUUCUCUGCUGCUUGUGUAGACCCAGAGAUUGGCCUCUGUUAGGAUCAAAA